GUGUUAGACCUGAUUCUGAACCGCAGUUGGUCCUUGUGAGACGACCUAGGAGUCAUUCCUAGCUAUACUGCAUUUCUUAUUAUGCAAUCAAAUUUGAUUGGGCGGCGACACCCAUCAUUCUCCACUAUUUUUUCUUUUUUUAUCUCUUCCCUCUUCCUUUCUUUCUCCUUUUUCUCUCAUUCUUCUCUCUCAUCUUCUUUUCUCUCAACCUCACCUCUUCUCUCUUCAUUCUUUUCUUCUUCUUUACUUAACUCAACUUUCUCUUUUCUGCCACCUUUUCUCUAAUCCAAAAUCUUUCCACUUCUAGUCAUAAUGGCGUUGCACUCUUCCUUAGGGAUAACUUUAGUAUUAGCCCCAAAACUCCUGUCAAGCUUAUCCUCCAACUUUUUAGCCAAUUGGCCAACUUGUAUCUCCAAGUUUCUAAUGG
This 427-nucleotide long non-coding RNA is filed under the name Vigna radiata. Its description in RNAcentral is "long non-coding RNA (VRAD_LNC007856)". The record is from RNAcentral. Lineage: Eukaryota; Viridiplantae; Streptophyta; Magnoliopsida; Fabales; Fabaceae.